UGCCAGCAGCCGCGGUAAUACGGAGGGUGCGAGCGUUGUCCGGAUUUAUUGGGUUUAAAGGGUGCGUAGGCGGCCUAUUAAGUCAGUGGUGAAAGGUAUCAGCUUAACUGAUGACGUGCCAUUGAAACUGAUAGGCUUGAGUACAGACGAGGUAGGCGGAAUUUAUGGUGUAGCGGUGAAAUGCAUAGAUAUGUGGAGGAACGCCGAUAACGAAGGUAGCUUACUGGGCUGUUACUGACGCUGAGGUACGAAAGCGUGGGGAGCAAACGGGAUUAGAUA
This 279-nucleotide ribosomal RNA is filed under the name uncultured bacterium. RNAcentral describes it as "partial 16S ribosomal RNA". It matches the Rfam family "Bacterial small subunit ribosomal RNA", at positions 506 to 784 of the family's 1533-position model. The record is from RNAcentral.